AUUGAACGCUGGCGGCAUGCCUAACACAUGCAAGUCGAGCGAGCGGCGGACGGGUGAGUAAUGUCUGGGAAACUUCCUGAUGGCGGGGGUUAGCUACUGGAAACGGUAGCUAAUACUGCAUACCAUCAUAUGUGCCCAGAUGUUCUUGGCUUGUAGGUUGGUUAAUGGGUCAACGAGGCGACGAUCCCUAGCUGGGUUGCGGGGAUGACCAGCCAAACGGGAACAGAGACACGGUCCUGAGUCCUACGGUAGGCAGCAGUGGGGAAUAGUGCACAAUGGGCGCAAGCCUGAUGCAGCCAUGCCGCGUGGGUGAAGAAGGCCUGAGGGUUGUAAAGCAGUUUCAGCGGGGAGGCGUUACCCGCAGAAGAAGCACCGGCUAACUCCGUGCCAGCAGCCGCGGUAAUUC
This 406-nucleotide ribosomal RNA is filed under the name uncultured bacterium. Its description in RNAcentral is "partial 16S ribosomal RNA". It matches the Rfam family "Bacterial small subunit ribosomal RNA", at positions 30 to 526 of the family's 1533-position model. The record is from RNAcentral.